UCCUACUUGACGCAGGCAGUCUCGUUAGAGUUCCCAACUUAAUGUAGCAACUAACGACAGAGGUUGCGCUCGUUGCGGGACUUAACCCAACAUCUCACGAUACGAGCUGACGACAGCCAUGCAGCACCUGGAUUACGGCUCUCUUGCGAGCACCCCGAUAUUUCUAAAGGGUUCCGUACUUUUCUAGCCCGGGUAAGGUUCUGCGCGUUGCGUCGAAUUAAACCACAUGCUCCACUGCUUGUGCGGGCCCCCGUCAAUUCCUUUGAGUUUUAGCCUUGCGGCCGUACUUCCCAGGCGGGGUGCUUAACGCGUUAGCUACGGCACCUCAGGGGUCAAUACCCGAGACACCUAGCACCCAUCGUUUACGGCGUGGACUAC
Molecule: unclassified non-coding RNA, 378 nt
Filed under: uncultured Sandaracinaceae bacterium
Lineage: Bacteria; Pseudomonadati; Myxococcota; Polyangiales; Sandaracinaceae
Description: contains 16S-23S intergenic spacer region
Source: RNAcentral